This 1163-nucleotide ribosomal RNA is filed under the name Vibrio sp. S2538. Its description in RNAcentral is "bacterial SSU rRNA". It matches the Rfam family "Bacterial small subunit ribosomal RNA", at positions 24 to 1166 of the family's 1533-position model. Lineage: Bacteria; Pseudomonadati; Pseudomonadota; Gammaproteobacteria; Vibrionales; Vibrionaceae. The record is from RNAcentral.
UCAGAUUGAACGCUGGCGGCAGGCCUAACACAUGCAAGUCGAGCGGAAACGAGUUAUCUGAACCUUCGGGGAACGAUAACGGCGUCGAGCGGCGGACGGGUGAGUAAUGCCUAGGAAAUUGCCCUGAUGUGGGGGAUAACCAUUGGAAACGAUGGCUAAUACCGCAUAACGCCUACGGGCCAAAGAGGGGGACCUUCGGGCCUCUCGCGUCAGGAUAUGCCUAGGUGGGAUUAGCUAGUUGGUGAGGUAAGGGCUCACCAAGGCGACGAUCCCUAGCUGGUCUGAGAGGAUGAUCAGCCACACUGGAACUGAGACACGGUCCAGACUCCUACGGGAGGCAGCAGUGGGGAAUAUUGCACAAUGGGCGCAAGCCUGAUGCAGCCAUGCCGCGUGUGUGAAGAAGGCCUUCGGGUUGUAAAGCACUUUCAGUCGUGAGGAAGGUAGUGUAGUUAAUAGCUGCAUUAUUUGACGUUAGCGACAGAAGAAGCACCGGCUAACUCCGUGCCAGCAGCCGCGGUAAUACGGAGGGUGCGAGCGUUAAUCGGAAUUACUGGGCGUAAAGCGCAUGCAGGUGGUUUGUUAAGUCAGAUGUGAAAGCCCGGGGCUCAACCUCGGAAUUGCAUUUGAAACUGGCAGACUAGAGUACUGUAGAGGGGGGUAGAAUUUCAGGUGUAGCGGUGAAAUGCGUAGAGAUCUGAAGGAAUACCGGUGGCGAAGGCGGCCCCCUGGACAGAUACUGACACUCAGAUGCGAAAGCGUGGGGAGCAAACAGGAUUAGAUACCCUGGUAGUCCACGCCGUAAACGAUGUCUACUUGGAGGUUGUGGCCUUGAGCCGUGGCUUUCGGAGCUAACGCGUUAAGUAGACCGCCUGGGGAGUACGGUCGCAAGAUUAAAACUCAAAUGAAUUGACGGGGGCCCGCACAAGCGGUGGAGCAUGUGGUUUAAUUCGAUGCAACGCGAAGAACCUUACCUACUCUUGACAUCCAGAGAACUUUCCAGAGAUGGAUUGGUGCCUUCGGGAACUCUGAGACAGGUGCUGCAUGGCUGUCGUCAGCUCGUGUUGUGAAAUGUUGGGUUAAGUCCCGCAACGAGCGCAACCCUUAUCCUUGUUUGCCAGCGAGUAAUGUCGGGAACUCCAGGGAGACUGCCGGUGAUAAACCGG